GGAAGUUAAGAAACUGUUUCUUAAUUUUUAACUAAAAAAGCUAAGAACGGGUUCUUAAAUAAGGACUUUAAGAACCGGUUCUUAGCCUUUUUAGUUAAAAGUUAAGAAACAGUUUCUUAACUUCC
This is a non-coding RNA of Brassica napus (rape), 125 nucleotides long. The record is from Rfam. Lineage: Eukaryota; Viridiplantae; Streptophyta; Magnoliopsida; Brassicales; Brassicaceae.